AGAGUUUGAUCCUGGCUCAGAUUGAACGCUGGCGGCAUGCCUUACACAUGCAAGUCGAACGGCAGCACGGGAGCAAUCCUGGUGGCGAGUGGCGAACGGGUGAGUAAUAUAUCGGAACGUGCCCAGUAGUGGGGGAUAGCCCGGCGAAAGCCGGAUUAAUACCGCAUACGACCUGAGGGUGAAAGCGGGGGAUCGCAAGACCUCGCGCUAUUGGAGCGGCCGAUAUCAGAUUAGCUAGUUGGUGGGGUAAAGGCCUACCAAGGCUACGAUCUGUAGUUGGUCUGAGAGGACGACCAGCCACACUGGGACUGAGACACGGCCCAGACUCCUACGGGAGGCUGCAGUCGAGAAUAUUUAGCAAUGGGCGAAAGCCUGACUAUGUGACGCCGCGUGAGGGAUGAAGGUCUUCGGAUCGUAAACCUCUUUCGAUGGGAAAGAAACUUUUAGUUAAUCACUAAAACUGACGGUACCCAGAGAAGAAGCCAUGGCCAACUCCGUGCCAGCAGCCGCGGUAAUACGGGGAUGGCGAGCGUUACUCGGAUUUAUUGGGUGUAAAGGGCAGGUAGGUGUUCCGCCAAGUUAGAAGUGAAAUCCUGUGGCUCAACCACAGAACUGCUUCUAAAACUGGCGGAAUUGAGGUCAGAAGAGGAAAGCGGAAUUCCCGGUGUAAGGGUGAAAUCUGUAGAGAUCGGGAGGAACACCUGUGGCGAAAGCGGCUUUCUGGUCUGACCCUGACGCUGAACUGCGAAAGCUAGGGGAGCAAACAGGAUUAGAUACCCUGGUAGUCC
This 788-nucleotide ribosomal RNA is filed under the name uncultured bacterium. RNAcentral's name for it is "bacterial SSU rRNA". It matches the Rfam family "Bacterial small subunit ribosomal RNA", at positions 8 to 796 of the family's 1533-position model. The record is from RNAcentral.